GAUGAACGCUGGCGGCGUGCCUAAUACAUGCAAGUCGAGCGAACGGACUUGAAUCUUUCUUCUCUUAUGUUAUCGGCUGACGUGUGAUUAACACGUGUAUAACCUACCUAUUAUUCUUGUAUAACUUCGGGAAACCGUAUCUAAUACCGGAUAAUAUUUUGAACCUCAUUGUUCAAUAGUGUAUUACGGUCUUUCUUUCUCUUAUAGAUGGUUCCGCGCUGCAUUAGCUAGUUGGUAAGGUAACGGCUUACCAAGGCAACGAUGCAUAGCCGACCUGAGAGGGUGAUCGGCGACACUGGAACUGAGACACGGACCAGAGGACUACGGGAGGCAGAAGUAGGGAAUGUAGCGCAAUGGGCGAAAGCAGGACGGAGAAAAGCCGCGUGAGGGAUGAAGGUGUUAGGAUCGUAAAAAAAUGUUAUUAGGGAAGAAAAAAUGUGUAAGGAAAUGAGCACAUAGUGACGGUAACUAAUAAGAAAGCAACGGCUAACUACGUG
Molecule: ribosomal RNA, 497 nt
Filed under: uncultured bacterium
Lineage: Bacteria
Description: partial 16S ribosomal RNA
Rfam family: Bacterial small subunit ribosomal RNA
Source: RNAcentral